AACAAGGUCUCCGUUGGUGAACCAGCGGAGGGAUCAUUACCGAGUUUACAACUCCCAAACCCCUGUGAACAUACCACUUGUUGCCUCGGCGGAUCAGCCCGCUCCCGGUAAAACGGGACGGCCCGCCAGAGGACCCCUAAACUCUGUUUCUAUAUGUAACUUCUGAGUAAAACCAUAAAUAAAUCAAAACUUUCAACAACGGAUCUCUUGGUUCUGGCAUCGAUGAAGAACGCAGCAAAAUGCGAUAAGUAAUGUGAAUUGCAGAAUUCAGUGAAUCAUCGAAUCUUUGAACGCACAUUGCGCCCGCCAGUAUUCUGGCGGGCAUGCCUGUUCGAGCGUCAUUUCAACCCUCAAGCACAGCUUGGUGUUGGGACUCGCGUUAAUUCGCGUUCCCCAAAUUGAUUGGCGGUCACGUCGAGCUUCCAUAGCGUAGUAGUAAAACCCUCGUUACUGGCAAUCGUCGCGGCCACGCCGUUAAACCCCAACUUCUGAAUGUUGACCUCGGAUCAGGUAGGAAUACCCGCUGAACUUAAGCAUAUAACAAGG
This 546-nucleotide ribosomal RNA is filed under the name uncultured fungus. RNAcentral's name for it is "eukaryotic LSU rRNA". The stretch from base 188 to 341 matches the Rfam family "5.8S ribosomal RNA". The record is from RNAcentral. Lineage: Eukaryota; Fungi.